GGGAGAGUCCGUUAAAUGGUAAACGACCGGUCUCCAAAACCGGCCCUGCAGGUUCGAGUCCUGCCUCUCCUG
This 72-nucleotide transfer RNA is filed under the name candidate division CPR3 bacterium. RNAcentral describes it as "tRNA-Trp". It matches the Rfam family "tRNA". Rfam says of the family: Transfer RNA (tRNA) molecules are approximately 80 nucleotides in length. Lineage: Bacteria; candidate division CPR3. The record is from RNAcentral.